AUUGAACGCUGGCGGCAGGCUUAACACAUGCAAGUCGAGCGGGGUGAUGGUGCUUGCACUAUCACUUAGCGGCGGACGGGUGAGUAAUGCUUAGGAAUCUGCCUAUUAGUGGGGGACAACAUCUCGAAAGGGACGCUAAUACCGCAUACGUCCUACGGGAGAAAGCAGGGGAUCACUUGUGACCUUGCGCUAAUAGAUGAGCCUAAGUCGGAUUAGCUAGUUGGUGGGGUAAAGGCCUACCAAGGCGACGAUCUGUAGCGGGUCUGAGAGGAUGAUCCGCCACACUGGGACUGAAACACGGCCCAGACUCCUACGGGAGGCAGCAGUGGGGAAUAUUGGACAAUGGGGGGAACCCUGAUCCAGCCAUGCCGCGUGUGUGAAGAAGGCCUUAUGGUUGUAAAGCACUUUAAGCGAGGAGGAGGCUCUUUUGGUUAAUACCCAAGAUGAGUGGACGUUACUCGCAGAAUAAGCACCGGCUAACUCUGUGCCAGCCGCCGCAGUAA
This 503-nucleotide ribosomal RNA is filed under the name uncultured bacterium. Its description in RNAcentral is "partial 16S ribosomal RNA". It matches the Rfam family "Bacterial small subunit ribosomal RNA", at positions 30 to 523 of the family's 1533-position model. The record is from RNAcentral.